CAGUCGCCGCGGGAAUACGAAGGGUGCAAGCGUUACUCGGAAUUACUGGGCGUAAAGCGUGCGUAGGUGGUGGUUUAAGUCCGUUGUGAAAGCCCUGGGCUCAACCUGGGAAUUGCAGUGGAUACUGGAUCACUAGAGUGUGGUAGAGGAUAGUGGAAUUUCCGGUGUAGCAGUGAAAUGCGUAGAGAUCGGAAGGAACAUCUGUGGCGAAGGCGACUAUCUGGGCCAACACUGACACUGAGGUACGAAAGCGUGGGGAGCAAACAGGAUUAGAUACCCCAGUAGUCCCUGUCUCUUAUAC
Molecule: ribosomal RNA, 301 nt
Filed under: uncultured bacterium
Lineage: Bacteria
Description: partial 16S ribosomal RNA
Rfam family: Bacterial small subunit ribosomal RNA
Source: RNAcentral